UACGAAGGGUCCAAGCGUUGUUCGGAAUUACUGGGCGUAAAGCGCACGUAGGCGGAUUUGUAAGUCAGAUGUGAAAGCCCCGGGCUCAACCUGGGAAUUGCAUUUGAAACUGCAAACCUUGAAUGCUUGAGAGGGUGACGGAAUUCCUGGUGUAGAAGUGAAAUUCGUAGAUAUCAGGAGGAACACCGGAGGCGAAGGCGGUUGCCUGGCGAUGCAUUGACGCUGAGGUGCGAAAGCGUGGGUAGCAAACAGG
Molecule: ribosomal RNA, 253 nt
Filed under: uncultured bacterium
Lineage: Bacteria
Description: partial 16S ribosomal RNA
Rfam family: Bacterial small subunit ribosomal RNA
Source: RNAcentral